RNAcentral lists this ribosomal RNA (253 nucleotides) under uncultured bacterium. RNAcentral's name for it is "partial 16S ribosomal RNA". It matches the Rfam family "Bacterial small subunit ribosomal RNA", at positions 524 to 776 of the family's 1533-position model. The record is from RNAcentral.
UACGUAGGGCGCAAGCGUUGUCCGGAAUUAUUGGGCGUAAAGAGCUCGUAGGCGGUUUGUCGCGUCUGCUGUGAAAACUCGAGGCUCAACCUCGGGCUUGCAGUGGGUACGGGCAGACUAGAGUGCGGUAGGGGAGAUUGGAAUUCCUGGUGUAGCGGUGGAAUGCGCAGAUAUCAGGAGGAACACCAAUGGCGAAGGCAGAUCUCUGGGCCGUAACUGACGCUGAGGAGCGAAAGCAUGGGGAGCGAACAGG